ACGACGUUACAAGGCAAAGCCAAAAUUCAAGGGAUCGAAUGCAAUAGGAAAAGAACACAGUCUGCGCGAGUGCGCGUUCAGAUACUAAAGAUAACCAUUCGACCGAGCGAAACGUCAGAGAGAAGCACAAGACCACGUCCUACACUAAAAGGUGUAGAAGAAUUUUUGUCAUAAUGGGAUCCUGUUUGCCAUGGUUGCUCAUAACCUCAUUUGUAAUAUUGGGAUUUGCUGGAGGACUGACAACAUCAUGGGCUUACUUUGAAUUUCCAACCAACGUGAACUCCUCUGUGAUACCCCCUGAAAACAUGACCUACAUUGAGUAUGGAGACACAAGGUACUAAAUGUCGCCUGCAAACUAC
This is a non-coding RNA of Penaeus vannamei (Pacific white shrimp), 359 nucleotides long. The record is from RefSeq and is a predicted model, not a curated record. NCBI's taxonomy places the organism in Eukaryota, Metazoa, Arthropoda, Malacostraca, Decapoda, Penaeidae.